This 1100-nucleotide ribosomal RNA is filed under the name Klebsiella pneumoniae. RNAcentral describes it as "bacterial SSU rRNA". It matches the Rfam family "Bacterial small subunit ribosomal RNA", at positions 30 to 1136 of the family's 1533-position model. Lineage: Bacteria; Pseudomonadati; Pseudomonadota; Gammaproteobacteria; Enterobacterales; Enterobacteriaceae. The record is from RNAcentral.
UAACCAUACUGGUGGAUACGCAGCAUACCAUGCAAGUCGAGCGGUAGCACGAGAGCUUGCUCUCGGGUGACGAGCGGCGGACGGGUGAGUAAUGUCUGGGAAACUGCCUGAUGGAGGGGGAUAACUACUGGAAACGGUAGCUAAUACCGCAUAAUGUCGCACCACCAAAGUGGGGGACCUUCGGGCCUCAUGCCAUCAGAUGUGCCCAGAUGGGAUUAUCUAGUAGGUGGGGUAACGGCUCACCUAGGCCACGAUCCCUAGCUGGUCUGAGAGGAUGACCAGCCACACUGGAACUGACACACGGUCCACACUCCUACGGGAGGCAGCAGUGGGGAAUAUUGCACAAUGGGCGCAAGCCUGAUGCACCCAUGCCGCGUGUGUGAAGAAGGCCUUCGGGUUGUAAAGCACUUUCAGCGGGGAGGAAGGCGGUGAGGUUAAUAACCUUGGCGAUUGACGUUACCCGCAAAAGAAGCACCGGCUAACUCCGUGCCAGCAGCCGCGGUAAUACGGAGGGUGCAAGCGUUAAUCGGAAUUACUGGGCGUAAAGCGCACGCAGGCGGUCUGUCAAGUCGGAUGUGAAAUCCCCGGGCUCAACCUGGGAACUGCAUUCGAAACUGGCAGGCUAGAGUCUUGUAGAGGGGGGUAGAAUUCCAGGUGUAGCGGUGAAAUGCGUAGAGAUCUGGAGGAAUACCGGUGGCGAACGCGGCCCCCUGGACAAAGACUGACGCUCAGGUGCGAAAGCGUGGGGAGCAAACAGGAUUAUAUACCCUGGUACUCCACGCCGUACACGAUGUCUAUUUGGAGGUUGUGCUCUUGAGGCGUGGCUUCCGGAGCUCACGCGUUAUAUCGACCGCCUGGGAGAGUACGGCCGCGAGGUUAACACUCAUAUGAAGUGACGGGGGCCCGCACAAGCGGUAGAGCAUGUGUUUUAAUUCGAUGCAACGCGAGAUCUUACCUGUCGUGACAUCACAGACUUUACAGAGAUGGAUUGUGUCUCGAGACUGUAGACAGUGCUGCAUGCUGUCGUCAGCUCGUGUUGUGAAUGUUGGAUAGUCCGCACGAACGCAAUCAUAUCCUGUGCAGCGUCCGCCGACUCGAGG